Molecule: ribosomal RNA, 477 nt
Filed under: uncultured bacterium
Lineage: Bacteria
Description: partial 16S ribosomal RNA
Rfam family: Bacterial small subunit ribosomal RNA
Source: RNAcentral
GAUUAACGCUGGCGGCGUGCAUAACACAUGCAAGUCGAACGAUGAAACUUAAAUGAUUUCUUCGGAAUGAACUUAAGUGGAUUAGUGGCGGACGGGUGAGUAACGCGUGAGUAACCUGCCUUACACAAGGGGAUAGCCGUUGGAAACGACGAAUAAUACCCUAUGAAACUAUCACUUCGCAUGAAGCGAUAGUCAAAGUGUUAGCGGUGUAAGAUGGACUUGCGUCUGAUUAGCUAGUUGGUGAGAAAAAAGCCCACCAAGGCAACGAUCAGUAGCCGGCUUGAGAGAGUGUACGGCCACAUUGGGACUGAGACACGGCCCAGACUCCUACGGGAGGCAGCAGUGGGGAAUUUUGCACAAUGGGGGAAACCCUGAUGCAGCGACGCCGCGUGAUUUAGAAGGCCUUCGGGUUGUAAAAAUUUUUUGUAUAGGAAGAAAAUGACAGUACUAUACGAAUAAGGUCCGGCUAAUUACGUG